UAGGGAAUCUUCCACAAUGGGCGGCAAGCCUGAUGGAGCAACACCGCGUGAGUGAAUAAGGGUUUCGGCUCGUAAAGCUCUGUUGUUAAAGAAGAACACGUAUGAGAGUAACUGUUCAUACGUUGACGGUAUUUAACCAGAAAGUCACGGCUAACUACGUGCCAG
RNAcentral lists this ribosomal RNA (165 nucleotides) under uncultured bacterium. Its description in RNAcentral is "partial 16S ribosomal RNA". It matches the Rfam family "Bacterial small subunit ribosomal RNA", at positions 355 to 511 of the family's 1533-position model. The record is from RNAcentral.